CUGAGUUUGAUCCUGGCUCAGGACGAACGCUGGCGGCGUGCUUAACACAUGCAAGUCGAGCGAUGAAGCUUCCUUCGGGAAGUGGAUUAGCGGCGGACGGGUGAGUAACACGUGGGUAACCUGCCUCAAAGUGGGGGAUAGCCUUCCGAAAGGAAGAUUAAUACCGCAUAAUAUAAGAGAAUCGCAUGAUUUUCUUAUCAAAGAUUUAUUGCUUUGAGAUGGACCCGCGGCGCAUUAGCUAGUUGGUAAGGUAAUGGCUUACCAAGGCAACGAUGCGUAGCCGACCUGAGAGGGUGAUCGGCCACAUUGGAACUGAGACACGGUCCAGACUCCUACGGGAGGCAGCAGUGGGGAAUAUUGCGCAAUGGGGGAAACCCUGACGCAGCAACGCCGCGUGGGUGAUGAAGGUCUUCGGAUUGUAAAGCCCUGUUUU
RNAcentral lists this ribosomal RNA (433 nucleotides) under Clostridium sporogenes. Its description in RNAcentral is "bacterial SSU rRNA". It matches the Rfam family "Bacterial small subunit ribosomal RNA", at positions 1 to 439 of the family's 1533-position model. Lineage: Bacteria; Bacillati; Bacillota; Clostridia; Eubacteriales; Clostridiaceae. The record is from RNAcentral.